RNAcentral lists this ribosomal RNA (482 nucleotides) under uncultured bacterium. RNAcentral describes it as "partial 16S ribosomal RNA". It matches the Rfam family "Bacterial small subunit ribosomal RNA", at positions 30 to 507 of the family's 1533-position model. The record is from RNAcentral.
AUUGAACGCUGGCGGCAUGCUUUACACAUGCCAGUCGAACGGUAACAGGCCGCACGGUCCUGACGAGUGGCGGCCGGGUGCGUAAUACAUCGGCACGUGCCCCCUCGUGGGGGGUCACUGCUCGCAAGAGGAGCCAAUACCUCAUACCGUCUAAGAAUGUGAACCGCAGGCCUCAAGGCCUCGCGCGGUUCGUGCGGCCGCUGUCAGAUUAGGUAGUUGGUGAGGUAAAGGCUCACCAAGCCAACGAUCUGUAGCUGGUCUGAGAGGACAAGCCGCCACACUGGGACUGAGACACGGCCCAGACUCCUACGGGAGGCAGCAGUGGGGAAUUUUGGACAAUGGGCGCAAGCCUGAUCCAGCAAUGCCGCGUGCAGGAAGAAGGCCUUCGGGUUGUAAACUGCUUUUGUAAGGAACGAAACGGCUCUGGUUAAUACCCGGGGAUAAUGACGGUACCGUAAGAAUAAGCACCGGCUAACUACGUG